Molecule: ribosomal RNA, 269 nt
Filed under: uncultured Oscillospiraceae bacterium
Lineage: Bacteria; Bacillati; Bacillota; Clostridia; Eubacteriales; Oscillospiraceae
Description: partial 16S ribosomal RNA
Rfam family: Bacterial small subunit ribosomal RNA
Source: RNAcentral
ACUCAGCCCUUCGGGACUGAGUUUAGUGGCGAACGGGUGAGUAACGCGUGAGGAACCUGCCUUUCAGUGGGGGACAACAGUUGGAAACGACUGCUAAUACCGCAUAAAGCUUUUUGAUGGCAUCAUUGAAAAGCCAAAGAUUUAUCGCUGAAAGAUGAGCUCGCGUCUGAUUAGCUAGUUGGUGAGGUAACGGCCCACCAAGGCGACGAUCAGUAGCCGGACUGAGAGGUUGACCGGCCACAUUGGGACUGAGAUACGGCCCAGACUCC